AAGGGCCUACGGGAGGCAGCAGUAGGGAAUCUUCCACAAUGGGCGAAAGCCUGAUGGAGCAACGCCGCGUGGGUGAAGAAGGUCUUCGGAUCGUAAAACCCUGUUGUUAGAGAAGAAAGUGCGUGAGAGUAACUGUUCACGUUUCGACGGUAUCUAACCAGAAAGCAUCGGCUAACUCCGUGCCAGCAGCCGCGGUAAUACGGAGGAUGCGAGCGUUAUCCGGAUUUAUUGGGUUUAAAGGGAGCGUAGACGGCUGCGCAAGUCUGAAGUGAAAGCCCGGGGCUCAACCCCGGGACUGCUUUGGA
Molecule: ribosomal RNA, 305 nt
Filed under: uncultured bacterium
Lineage: Bacteria
Description: bacterial SSU rRNA
Rfam family: Bacterial small subunit ribosomal RNA
Source: RNAcentral